GACAAGUAUCUUGAGAAUAUUUUGCCACAGUCAUUGCACAUUUUCUCCUUAGCUGUUUGUUUUCCAAAUUCAAGUGAGAACUUGGCCAGACUCUGUUGCAAUAUCUUUCUUCCUUUCAAGAAUCAAAGGAGGACUUUCAAUGUCUUCACUACAGCACAUUCUGCAACUCCACAGACUACACUUUCAAUGCAUAGAGUUAGCUCUAGGUAAUCUAAUCCAAGGAGGUUUGAGUUUUACAUGAUAUGCAUUACUGUGCUCUCUGAGAACCUCCAAGGAGACCUAUGCUUUUCUGCAGCAUCCUCUCUAACUGUUCCCCCCAUUAUAUUCCAAGGUCUGUAGCUGUUUUGCCUUUAGUAGUUGGAGCUUUAGCGUACAUAACUUUGCUAUACUAGUUGACCCGCAAUAACUUAGAAGGAAGUCAUUUUGUUUUCUCCUUUUAUUAGUGUCAGAACUGCUCUCUGGGCUGUGUUACAAUGACAAUCGCUUUUAUCCAAAUCAUGUCUACCAACGACAUGGUCUCCCUGGGCUUGAUGUAUUCAGCACCCUAAAGUAUGGAAAAAUCUGUGUGCCUUUCUACAAUCCAGCUGGGAGAAAUUUAGGUUGAGUUCUGGCUUCACAUUGCUUUCAUCCUGUGAGUAUGCUGUAAAAAGGAAGGGGAAGGGAUAAGGAUUUUAAUUUCCCUCCAUAUGGGAGACCGCAGGAAUUCUGAGUGACUGAGGAUACUGUAUACCAUUCUCAGCUUCUAUCUCUCAGCUCCUCUGUAAGUGACUCAGGUACUCUGCAAUUCAGAAAAUCCUGCCUCACAUAAAUGUGGAAUCCUAAAAUUCUAGAGAUGGGCCACAGCUGGCCCAUGGAUGUCUGCUGAGGCACUGAAGCUCUUCACCAUGAUAUAAAAUGUUUGUGUCAUGCACUUUUUAGCAUGAUCUGAGCUAUUAGGUAUGCAAAGAUCACUUGUGGCCUACAGGUUACAGCCCUUGGCUCCCAAAAUGACCUAGGGGAAGCCCUGACACGCAUUUCACUUUUCAGCUUUUGAAGCAGGCUGUUAUCUCACAUGCCAGUAAAAUGACUCAACACACAAACUGAUGAGCCAUUUUCUCUGGUGCUCCACCUAUUGGAACUGUUCUGCUAGAUUUGAUUCAGUUCAGUUUUGAGUUAAGUAAUAACUGGUCUGACUGAGUCUAUACCCCUCUGGUCAGUGCACUCUGCUGAGAUCAAGGAAGCUGAAAUCCCAAUCCCUGCUAAAUAUUUAAUGUUUUAUGCAUGAUAAACAGCUCCCACAGGAGGGAUUUCCAGCACAGAAGAGAAAAAAAUCAAAUCAUCCGGAAGAGUGGCUUGAGCCUGGCCCUUUGACAUUGCAGGGAUGUUCUAAUUUGAUUGUCAGAUCCAGAAAGGUAGAACCUCUCUUGCUUUUCUUCUUGCACUCAAAAUAAGAAUGUUUAGCUCUGAGUUUACAGAUCAUAAUUGCAGGCAAUAGGAGAAGACAGUGCACCUUUCACUAAUUGGGAAAACAACAAAAUUUUGGAAAAGUAUGUACUGUGUGAAGAACGGGACCUAAUGCUUUAUCAGUGUCUGAAAUUAAGCAUGAAUCAACAAGAAGAUGGAAUUAAAGAUGCUCCCAUAUUUUGCCAGGGAGAAUAUAUGGAAGAGAACAGACAUUUUCCCUCAACGUCAGGUUGGAAAGCUCUCAUCUCUGUCUAGAGUUCAAGGUGGACAUUAUUCAUCUCUUCCCUGUUGAGAUGACUCAGAGUUUCCCUCAGACGUCCUGGAAAAAAAAUAAGACAUUGGAACACUUGUCAUCCGUGUGCAGAGUUGAAAUGAAUUUUCUUUCAUCACAAUAACGCAAGAAUAAUGACCUGCCAUUGUGUACAAGGAUAUUGCCAUGUAAUCCUGUCACAUGCAACCCCUGCGGCAGGACUGGGAACUGAAGCCAAGUUCCCCAUCCCUGGCCAAUAACUCACUCACAAGGUCAUUUUUCCCUACAACAGGUAGUGAUGACUAAACUGCAAUGUAAUGGUGACUCAGGAUAAUAAUAUUGGAUGGCCUUUUGACCAUGGUAAGCCAUCACUAAAGUUAGCAAUCCACUUACUUGCUCAGUCCAUCUGUCAGCUUCUAAGGAAUGGCUGAGUCUGAUGUUUGGACUUUAGGGUUGGACUUGAGAAUCUUGAGGAUCUUUUCCAACCUAGAUGAUUCUUUGAUUCUAUAUUUCUAAAUGUGUGUUCACAUGACAUAUCCCUCCAUUUGUUACUCUCUUGCUAAAAUGAAAAACUUUCAUUCCUUUCAGCCUUGACCUGAUCUGACACCUCUCAGUUCAGCCAGUUCUUAGCAAAAUUCUGCUGAGAACCCACAACAUGUGUGCUGUGCUGUAAAUGCUGAGAAAGCAGUGUGAUUUAGAUGAAACACUGAGCCUGGGGCUACAGCAAGCAGCGUGGAUUAUCUAGUCCAACCAAAAAUUCACUCUUAAAGGUGUGGCUAUACAUGCUAGCUGUGCAGCAGCUUCUGUUCUCUGCGCUAUGUUUCUUCUAGCUUACCUAUUAACAGCUGGUUUCUUACCAAAAGAGAACUGUCUCUGUUAAAGUCUCAGUGGAAUGAUGAGCAGGGUAAAGUAAAGCUACAAAUUAAAAGGAAUUCACUCCUGGUUUGUUUGUUUGUUUUUUAAAGUUUAUUCAGUCCAAGUCUUGGAAGUGUUAUAUCAGAUAAAGUGGAUUAAAUUAAAUAAAACUUUUUCUCAAAUGAAUAA
Molecule: long non-coding RNA, 2737 nt
Organism: Coturnix japonica (Japanese quail)
Lineage: Eukaryota; Metazoa; Chordata; Aves; Galliformes; Phasianidae
Source: RefSeq, a predicted model, not a curated record